RNAcentral lists this ribosomal RNA (120 nucleotides) under Pteropus alecto (black flying fox). The record is from RNAcentral. Lineage: Eukaryota; Metazoa; Chordata; Mammalia; Chiroptera; Pteropodidae.
GUCUAUGGCCACACUACCCUGAACAAGCCUGAUCCCGUCUGAUCUCGGAAGCUAAGCAGGGUCGGGCCUGGUUUAGUACUUGGAUGGGAGACCACCUAGGAAGACCAGGUGCUGUAAGCA